UUUAGAGUUUAGGGUUUAGGGUUUAGAGUUGAGAAAUGAAGUUUUGGGGAUAAGAUUUCAAAUUUUGAAAAAUAAAAAAAAUAAAAUUUUCAAAGGAUAAACUUAGAAAGGUGCUAUUUUGGUCAUUUUAGUUUUUGAGUGUUAUUUUUGUGAUAUAAACUUAGAAAUGUGCUAUUUUGGAGAUUUGCCCUUUUUUAAUUUUUAAUUUUGUUUUUAAAUUUUUUUAUAUAUCUAGAGUAUUAGAGUCUUUUUACUUAUUAAAUGAAACAUUUUGGUCAUUUUCCUUCUUGUGGUUUAUUUUUGUGAUCAAAACUUGAAAAUAGUCUAUUUAGGAGAAUUACCCUUUAUAUAACGGAGAAAUCUGGUUCAAGCCGGAGAAAUCAAGUCACAAAAUCGCAGAUGAAUCGUAUAAUUGAUUUUUUAAUUUUCCUCCACUAUUAAAAAACCUUUUUUAUGUAGUAGAUUAAUCCAUUAUGCAAUUGG
Molecule: long non-coding RNA, 483 nt
Filed under: Brassica napus (rape)
Lineage: Eukaryota; Viridiplantae; Streptophyta; Magnoliopsida; Brassicales; Brassicaceae
Description: long non-coding RNA (BNAP_LNC018661)
Source: RNAcentral